GCCUCCUUAGCUCAGUGGUAGAGCAACGCUCUUGUAAAGCGUAGGUCGUCAGUUCGAUCCUGACAGGGGGCU
RNAcentral lists this transfer RNA (72 nucleotides) under Agrococcus pavilionensis RW1. It matches the Rfam family "tRNA". From Rfam's summary of the family: Transfer RNA (tRNA) molecules are approximately 80 nucleotides in length. Their secondary structure includes four short double-helical elements and three loops (D, anti-codon, and T loops). RNAcentral also lists the same sequence under 12 other names. The record is from Rfam by way of RNAcentral. Lineage: Bacteria; Bacillati; Actinomycetota; Actinomycetes; Micrococcales; Microbacteriaceae.